Molecule: ribosomal RNA, 500 nt
Filed under: bacterium
Lineage: Bacteria
Description: bacterial SSU rRNA
Rfam family: Bacterial small subunit ribosomal RNA
Source: RNAcentral
AACUUCGGGAAACCGGAGCUAAUACCGGAUACGUUCUUUUCUCGCAUGAGAGAAGAUGGAAAGACGGUUUACGCUGUCACUUAUAGAUGGGCCCGCGGCGCAUUAGCUAGUUGGUGAGGUAAUGGCUCACCAAGGCGACGAUGCGUAGCCGACCUGAGAGGGUGAUCGGCCACACUGGGACUGAGACACGGCCCAGACUCCUACGGGAGGCAGCAGUAGGGAAUCUUCCGCAAUGGACGAAAGUCUGACGGAGCAACGCCGCGUGAACGAAGAAGGCCUUCGGGUCGUAAAGUUCUGUUGUUAGGGAAGAACAAGUACCAGAGUAACUGCUGGUACCUUGACGGUACCUAACCAGAAAGCCACGGCUAACUACGUGCCAGCAGCCGCGGUAAUACGUAGGUGGCAAGCGUUGUCCGGAAUUAUUGGGCGUAAAGCGCGCGCAGGUGGUUCCUUAAGUCUGAUGUGAAAGCCCACGGCUCAACCGUGGAGGGUCAUUGGAA